This 732-nucleotide long non-coding RNA is filed under the name Mus musculus (house mouse). RNAcentral describes it as "long non-coding RNA chr9:69180085-69180817". The record is from RNAcentral. Lineage: Eukaryota; Metazoa; Chordata; Mammalia; Rodentia; Muridae.
UAUGGGGGAGCACGGAGACUAAGAAAUCAGGGCCUGUGGGUUUGGAGGCACUGUGCUGAGGGCUCUGUGGCUCUUCCCACUGUCUGUGUUUCUGACUUGCUAGAAAGGAUGGUCACAAGCAGAGAUACAAUAGAGAUACAAUUCCUAAUGCAGAACUCUACAGAAAGCGCCAUGAUGGUAGCGCCAUGAUAGUAGGCGUCGUUGCUAAUUCACUGGAAGGGACAUCUCCUCCUUUUCAGCCUGGCAGCUGCUUGUAAGUGAGAACAGAUAGUCACCCCUAGAAACCGGGAGAUCCCCACUUUUCUACUGGUACAAAUCUUUUAGAAACCCAGGAACCAGUUUCCCAUGCUGGUUCCCCACCCCAGAAGCAGGUCGGAUUUACCUAGUCGUCUCAGGUUAAAGAGAGAGCUGGCUCGUGUUACAUCAAUUUAGUUCCAAACCCAGAGGAGUCCAGACUCAAUCCCUGGGGAAUAAAGCUGCCUCUCUGGUUCUAUCCAUUUUAGGACAACCAGGUCUUACCUUUGCCCUAGCUUCCCCUCACCAUUUUCUUCCACAGCAGAAAUAAUGUGUUCCGUGGUCCUGGAACAACAGUUUGGUGCAUGAAUGAUUGCCAGAGCACGUUCUAGAGUCUGGGCUCUGAGAAUGUUCUGUGGCUCAGAUGAGAGUCACAGACAUCAGGUAUUCAGUGAAGCCAGGCUAUCAUGUAGUAUAAAAGGAUGCAUCUCACAGCUC